This is a long non-coding RNA of Chinchilla lanigera (long-tailed chinchilla), 2238 nucleotides long. RefSeq lists it as uncharacterized. NCBI's taxonomy places the organism in Eukaryota, Metazoa, Chordata, Mammalia, Rodentia, Chinchillidae. The record is from RefSeq and is a predicted model, not a curated record. The transcript is spliced from 4 exons.
CGGAGAGCGCGCGCGGGAGCUGGUGAGGGUAAAAGCGGAAAGCGACCCUCAGCAGGGCUGUACCCAGGCACAGCCCGUGUGCAGGGGCCCUUGCAGCCACCAGCUUUGCCAGCCGGACUGCCUGCCCUGCGCGUUCCCGGCCCACCUCCGCCCGCCCUAGGCCCUGUCUGGGCGCAGCCAGCUGAGGGAGAUUCCUACAGCAGCGUCAUCCGCGGCGCAGGGUCCCGGGCUAGGCAGGAAGGUGACUGCCGCCUGUAAUCCUGGGGAGCCAGGAGGACCCCUGGAGCGCAAGAACGCAACAGCCGCCAAGAGGUGCCCGGCCCCUGCUACCGAGACGACACAGAGGAGGCACUGAGGCGCCAAUGCCCGAGCUGGCGCAGAGAGCCCGGCUCCCUCCUCGGACAGCGGGCGGCUCGUCGCCUCCCAGGGGACCCGGCGCGCGGGGCCCUUCUCGCGUCCCAGCGCGGUGUGAAAUGGGCGGCGCGCGGGGCUCUGGGCGAGGACCUGCUACUGAGGACCGUCCUCCCUACCCCUCCCAGCCCUGCGGGCCCUGGCACCUCAGGGCGUCGGCCCGCUGGCCUCGCUUCCACUCGUCCCGGGGGCGCGCGCGGCUCCUAGUCCCACGCUCUCCUGCACCGCCGGGCCUCCGUGCCGACCUGCUUCCUGUUCAACAAUAUACGAGGGAGGCACCGGCGGAGCGCCCGGCGAACUUCCUCCCUGGCUGGGGCUGGGCUGCUGUUGCAAAAGACAAUCCCCGGUAUCCUGGCUUCCUGUCCCCUCUGGGCCGGCUCGAGCUCCAGGAGCAGAGACGCCACCCCUUCCCCCAUGCACCUCCUGGGAUGGAUCCUGGGCCACUGCUGGCUGUUCCUAGGGUUGAGGACGCCCGUGGCGUCCCACCAGCUUCAGCCCGAUUUCCCUCUUGUCGAGAUCCUCCCUUGUAGUGUAGAGAGGGGAGUCCUUCCAACCUGCCCAGCAGCCUCCUGGAGGCCAGGAUCUGAGUGGAGUCCGGGGCCCUCCCCUUGGGGUCUUUCUGGUAAUAGCCUCUGGGGAAAGUAGCCUUGCCCUCUGGCUUGACUCAGCUGUCACUCCAGACAUGGGCAAAGCAGCCCCUCUGGACCUGUUCUCAGGGCCCACAAGGAACACUGGUGCAUUUGUGUAGGUGUUUGUGCUGAGUUUGUCUAAGUGCUGAUGCUGGAGAGGAGGGAAGCCCCCAUCCCAAGCGUCGGACUCCAGACAGCCUGAACAGCACGAAGUUUGGCUGGAACUGCACCUACAGUCCAGGGGGCGCUCUACUACUGAGCCAUGGCACAACCCUUUUUCCAGACAGGGUCUCCCUCAAUUGUCCAGGCUGGGCUGGAAUUCUUGAUCCUUCCUGCCUCAGCCACCUGAGUAGGUGUGUGCCAUGGUGCCUCACAUUCUCUUGUUUUGAGACAGGGCCUCGCUACUUAGUUAAGGCUGAACUUGAAGCCACUUUGUAGCCCAGGAUUGGAUCAGACUCACAAUGACCCUCUUGCCUCAGGCUCCCAAGUGCUAGGAUGACAGGUGUGCACCACCAUGCGCAGCUCAUACUCUUUGUUGGACUCCCUUUUCUCCACAUCUCUGACUGUGGCGUUGCCCACCAGUGAGAACACACUGGGCUGGGUGUCUCAGUGUGCCCAGGCCUGGUGGCAUCUUAGGAUCUGCCAGAACAGACAUGCAGUAGAGCUAAGCAUGGUGCCCUGCACGCUGAGAGGACAGUGGCUGGAUGAACCCUCCUCACCUGCCCCCAUCACCCACUGGGCCAGGCACAUGGCAGAGGCUGGUGUGUUGUGGUCCUCGUCUGGGGUCUGGCAGUCUGAAGCACAGCACUGCCACACACUGACCUUUAGAUGUCUGGAACCACCUUUCUUUUCUACAAGCUGCAACAGUAAUGCCUUCCUUAUAGGUUUGCGCAGAGGACUGAAUGAGACGUCAUAAAGGCAGUGUCAGCUGGACUUGAAUUGUGAUCCUCCUGCCUCAGCUUCUGGAUGCAGAAUUCCAGGGACAGUGAGGGGCUCCCCCUGCACGAGCCCCUCAGCUUCUCCGGAAUCUUCUGAGGAAGACAGCAGCCAAAGGCCCUAAAUCCACAAGCUCGGGGCCUGGGGCCCCGCUAAACUCAUCCUCCCACCUCUUUGUGUUCCCUUUCUCCUGUGUUCCUGAGGCUGCAGUGUCCUGACAUUUAGGGCUCAGGAAAUAAAGCCACGGGCAGCCAGCUUCAGC